GCAGCUGGAACAGUAAACUGAGCGACAAUAAACAAUAUCAGUCCUAUGCAAGUCAGCGUUUGCUGGCGACACUUUCGAAUUGCGGGGAACUCCUAAGAGCCUUUUACACCAAACCAGCGUGGGAAACCUGCUGGCGGCCUGUGGGAAACUACAGGGUAUGGUAAUAGUGAAAAGGAUGAGCCAACUUUGUUGGUGAAAUGGACAAUCCGCAGCGAAGCCCCUGCAGUUUAUGGUAGUUAGUUACCAAACAUGGGGAACGUUCACAGACUAAGUGGAAGUGGGUGGGGUACUAUUGUGCCCUGCUUAAGAUAUAGUCGAGCCCCUCUGGAAACUUUGGGGGAGGAUUUAACUUGGUUUCCAAGCUACUCCUUACACUGUUCCGUAGGUGAACCUGCGGAAGGAUCAUUACACUCAGUAGUUUACUACUGUAAAGGGGGCUGUUAGUCUGUAUAGCGCAAGCUGAUGAGCAGCUGGCCUCUUUUAUCACCCUUGUCUUUUGCGUACCCACGUUUCCUCGGUAGGCUUGCCUGCCGAUUGGACAACCCUAUAACCUUUUUAAUUUUCAAUCAGCGUCUGAAAAACUUAAUAAUUACAACUUUCAACAACGGAUCUCUUGGUUCUGGCAUCGAUGAAGAACGCAGCGAAAUGCGAUAAGUAGUGUGAAUUGCAGAAUUCAGUGAAUCAUCGAAUCUUUGAACGCACAUUGCGCCCCUUGGUAUUCCAUGGGGCAUGCCUGUUCGAGCGUCAUUUGUACCCUCAAGCUCUGCUUGGUGUUGGGUGUUUGUCCUCUCCCUUGUGUUUGGACUCGCCUUAAAACAAUUGGCAGCCAGUGUUUUGGUAGUGAAGCGCAGCACAAGUCGCGAUUCCUAUCAAAUACUUGCACCCACAAGCCUUUUUAACUUUUGACCUCGGAUCACGUAGGGAUACCCGCUGAACUUAAGCAUACUCA
This 949-nucleotide ribosomal RNA is filed under the name Parastagonospora dactylidis. RNAcentral's name for it is "eukaryotic LSU rRNA". The stretch from base 594 to 747 matches the Rfam family "5.8S ribosomal RNA". Lineage: Eukaryota; Fungi; Ascomycota; Dothideomycetes; Pleosporales; Phaeosphaeriaceae. The record is from RNAcentral.